Molecule: ribosomal RNA, 862 nt
Filed under: uncultured Streptococcus sp.
Lineage: Bacteria; Bacillati; Bacillota; Bacilli; Lactobacillales; Streptococcaceae
Description: bacterial SSU rRNA
Rfam family: Bacterial small subunit ribosomal RNA
Source: RNAcentral
CUAAUACAUACAAGUAGAACGCUGAAGGAGGAGCUUGCUUCUCCGGAUGAGUUGCGAACGGGUGAGUAACGCGUAGGUAACCUGCCUGGUAGCGGGGGACAACUAUUGGAAACGAUAGCUAAUACCGCAUAACAGUAGAUAUUGCAUGAUAUCUGCUUGAAAGGUGCAAUUGCAUCACUACCAGAUGGACCUGCGUUGUAUUAGCUAGUUGGUGAGGUAACGGCUCACCAAGGCGACGAUACAUAGCCGACCUGAGAGGGUGAUCGGCCACACUGGGACUGAGACACGGCCCAGACUCCUACGGGAGGCAGCAGUAGGGAAUCUUCGGCAAUGGACGGAAGUCUGACCGAGCAACGCCGCGUGAGUGAAGAAGGUUUUCGGAUCGUAAAGCUCUGUUGUAAGAGAAGAACGAGUGUGAGAGUGGAAAGUUCACACUGUGACGGUAUCUUACCAGAAAGGGACGGCUAACUACGUGCCAGCAGCCGCGGUAAUACGUAGGUCCCGAGCGUUGUCCGGAUUUAUUGGGCGUAAAGCGAGCGCAGGCGGUUAGAUAAGUCUGAAGUUAAAGGCUGUGGCUUAACCAUAGUACGCUUUGGAAACUGUUUAACUUGAGUGCAAGAGGGGAGAGUGGAAUUCCAUGUGUAGCGGUGAAAUGCGUAGAUAUAUGGAGGAACACCGGUGGCGAAAGCGGCUCUCUGGCUUGUAACUGACGCUGAGGCUCGAAAGCGUGGGGAGCGAAACAGGAUUAGAUACCCUGGUAGUCCACGCCGUGAACGAUGAGUGCUAGGUGUUAGACCCUUUCCGGGUUUAGUGCCGCAGCUAACGCAUUAAGCACUCCGCCUGGGGAGUACGACCGCAAGGU